UUCGGAAGGACCAUCACCUGACUGCCUGCGUAGCUCCUCUGUCGUGAGGUGAACGUUCUCCACGGCUCUCCGUUUUAACUUCACCUGGCUUGUAUACUGGCCAUUCCUAGCCUACUGUGUUCCUGACCGGCUGUUUUGCUAUCUGAUGUUGGUGUGAUGGGGAACAGAACCUUACUCACAAUACUCCAUAUUGAUGAGGUA
Molecule: long non-coding RNA, 201 nt
Organism: Gymnodraco acuticeps
Lineage: Eukaryota; Metazoa; Chordata; Actinopteri; Perciformes; Bathydraconidae
Exons: 3
Source: RefSeq, a predicted model, not a curated record